GGCUUAGAGUUUGAUCAUGGCUCAGGAUGAACGCUGGCGGCGUGCUUAACACAUGCAAGUCGAGCGAAGCGCUUAAGCGGAUUUCUUCGGAUUGAAGCUUUUGUGACUGAGCGGCGGACGGGUGAGUAACGCGUGGGGAACCUGCCUCGUACAGGGGGAUAACAGUUAGAAAUGACUGCUAAUACCGCAUAAGCGCACGGAGGCGCAUGCUUCUGUGUGAAAAGCUCCGGCGGUAUGAGAUGGACCCGCGUUAGAUUAGCCAGUUGGCGGGGUAACGGCCCACCAAAGCGACGAUCUAUAGCCGGCCUGAGAGGGCGACCGGCCACAUUGGGACUGAGACACGGCCCAAACUCCUACGGGAGGCAGCAGUGGGGAAUAUUGCACAAUGGGGGAAACCCUGAUGCAGCGACGCCGCGUGAGCGAAGAAGUAUUUCGGUAUGUAAAGCUCUAUCAGCAGGGAAGAAAGUGACGGUACCUGACUAAGAAGCCCCGGCUAACUACGUGCCAGCAGCCGCGGUAAUACGUAGGGGGCAAGCGUUAUCCGGAUUUACUGGGUGUAAAGGGAGCGUAGACGGCAAUGCAAGUCUGGAGUGAAAACCCGGGGCUUAACCCCGGGACUGCUUUGGAAACUGUGUAGCUUGAGUACCGGAGGGGUAAGCG
Molecule: ribosomal RNA, 660 nt
Filed under: uncultured organism
Description: bacterial SSU rRNA
Rfam family: Bacterial small subunit ribosomal RNA
Source: RNAcentral